UAAUACCUCAUAAUGCAGCGGAUCCGCAUGGAUAUGUUGUUAAAGGUUUACCGCCUUGGGAUAGGCUUGCGUCUGAUUAGCUAGUUGGUGUGGUAACGGCACACCAAGGCUACGAUCAGUAACUGGUCUGAGAGGAUGAUCAGUCACACUGGAACUGAGACACGGUCCAGACUCCUACGGGAGGCAGCAGUGAGGAAUAUUGGGCAAUGCUCGAAAGAGUCGACCCAGCAACGCCGCGUGGAGGAUAGAAGGUAUUCUAUAUCGUAAACUCCUGUGAGAGCAGACGAAAGACAGAUUAUUAAUCUGGAUGACUGUAUGCUCAGAGGAAGCCCCGGCUAACUACGUG
Molecule: ribosomal RNA, 346 nt
Filed under: uncultured bacterium
Lineage: Bacteria
Description: bacterial SSU rRNA
Rfam family: Bacterial small subunit ribosomal RNA
Source: RNAcentral